GGACUAAGAUAAUUUAUAAAAUCUAAAAUUCUUAUUCAGAGUGCUUAAACUCGAUGAAUUGGUCGGCCCCCGUAAUCCUGGCUCCGCCCCUGAUCCGCCCAUUCCGCCCGCCGCGUUCUCUGCUCCUGCGGCGGCUCACCCUCGGCGGCUCGGCGUCUCUAAACAAGGGUGCAGUUUGCGCGGCGGCCGUCGGCCUACCAGUAGUCCUGCCGGUGGUGCACGUGAUGGCCAAUGGGCACGCUUUCGUUGGUAGCCAGGAAGCGAUGAUGCUUACCUGAUGUCCUCUGCUCAACCACAAUUGGUACAUGGUUUAGAUGGAGAGGACAUCAAAAGCUUUGUGUUUACUUCAAAAAAGAAGUUGACUGUGAGGUAGACGAACCAAACACGUUCGAGGACAACCCACAUGACACUUUCGAGUAAGGCAAGUGGAUUCUACCUCUGCAUUUCUGUUUAUACCUAAAUAAUGCAUAUAAUAAUGUUUACUUUUCGGAUAUUGCAUAAUUUGAUGGGAUUUGCCUAAAUAAGGAUUUCCUAGAAUUAUGAACCCUAUUCCUUGAAUUACCCUGGGAUAAAUGUUGUGCUUAACAAUUUUUGCUAUUGCUCAACUUGAUGAAUAUGUUGUCACUCUUUUAAUGAUACUAUGUUCCAGAAAUGAAGAUUUAUUUAUGAUGUUAACCCGAUGGUUAAACAAGAACAUUUUGUAUUAAAUGGAACAUGGAGUGACCACCCAGGAUAACAGUGCAACCACGAGUGCUAUAAUGGCUCUGGCUUUGGUAAUUAGCUCUAUAGACUUAGUGCUUAGCAACCCUACCUGAAAGAUGGGCAAGAGGUGCGGCAUUGGUUUGGUGACAGCUCAUGUUAACAUGGGGUGGUAGUCUUGGCUAAGAUACCUCACCCAGAGGGCCAUCAGUACUGACGUGGAAACCUUAGCGGGUGGCUUUGUACUAAGGAUGUUUUGUGAAAGCCUCAUAGUGGAUCCCUAGCCAUUCACCUCGGCAGUGUUUAUGG
Long non-coding RNA from Zea mays, 1008 nucleotides. RefSeq lists it as uncharacterized. Lineage: Eukaryota; Viridiplantae; Streptophyta; Magnoliopsida; Poales; Poaceae. The transcript has 3 exons. The record is from RefSeq and is a predicted model, not a curated record.